RNAcentral lists this ribosomal RNA (99 nucleotides) under Streptomyces sp. XY431. RNAcentral's name for it is "partial 23S ribosomal RNA". It matches the Rfam family "Bacterial large subunit ribosomal RNA", at positions 2828 to 2925 of the family's 2925-position model. Lineage: Bacteria; Bacillati; Actinomycetota; Actinomycetes; Kitasatosporales; Streptomycetaceae. The record is from RNAcentral. RNAcentral also lists the same sequence under 1 other name.
GUAAGGCUCCCAGUAGACGACUGGGUUGAUAGGCCGGAUAUGGAAGCCCUGUGAGGGGUGGAGUUGACCGGUACUAAUAGGCCGAGGGCUUGUCCUCAG